This 204-nucleotide long non-coding RNA is filed under the name Dasypus novemcinctus (nine-banded armadillo). Its description in RNAcentral is "lncRNA (ENSDNOG00000051836.1)". Lineage: Eukaryota; Metazoa; Chordata; Mammalia; Cingulata; Dasypodidae. The record is from RNAcentral.
CAGCUUGAUACAACAGCCACAAUUUGUCUUAUUUGUUUACUUUUUUUUUUAGGAAAUCCUGGGCAACUCUUUGGGAAGCUGCAGAAAUUCUUCAGUGCCACAAAAGUACCAUUCUGAUAUGACUGCUGGUGAUGCUUAUGUAUAAAAAGAGAACUCAGGAUUUUUAGUGGGCCAGUAACCCAUCACACUGCUGCCUUACAACAC